AAGUCGUAACAAGGUUUCCGUAGGUGAACCUGCGGAAGGAUCAUUAUUGAAAUAAAUCUGAUGGGUUGCUGCUGGUUCUCUAGAGAGCAUGUGCACACUUGUCAUCUUUAUAUCUCCACCUGUGCACCUUUUGUAGACCUGGAUAUCUUUCUGAAUGCCUGGCAUUUGGGUUUUGAGGAUUGAUUUUCUUUCCUUGCAUUUUCAGGUCUAUGUUUCUUCAUAUACCCCAUGUAUGUUAUAGAAUGUAAUAAACAGGCCUUUGUGCCUAUAAACCUAUACAACUUUCAGCAACGGAUCUCUUGGCUCUC
Molecule: unclassified non-coding RNA, 308 nt
Filed under: air metagenome
Description: partial contains small subunit ribosomal RNA, internal transcribed spacer 1, and 5.8S ribosomal RNA
Rfam family: Eukaryotic small subunit ribosomal RNA (bases 1-46)
Source: RNAcentral